CGCACGGGUGAGUAACACGUAUCCAACCUGCCGUCUACUCUUGGCCAGCCUUCUGAAAGGAAGAUUAAUCCAGGAUGGCAUCAUGAGUUCACAUGUCCGCAUGAUUAAAGGUAUUUUCCGGUAGACGAUGGGGAUGCGUUCCAUUAGAUAGUAGGCGGGGUAACGGCCCACCCAGUCAACGAUGGAUAGGGGUUCUGAGAGGAAGGUCCCCCACAUUGGAACUGAGACACGGUCCAA
This 237-nucleotide ribosomal RNA is filed under the name uncultured bacterium. RNAcentral's name for it is "partial 16S ribosomal RNA". It matches the Rfam family "Bacterial small subunit ribosomal RNA", at positions 99 to 334 of the family's 1533-position model. The record is from RNAcentral.